UACGUAGGGUGCAAACGUUGCUCGGAAUUAUUGGGCGUAAAGCGCACGUAGGCGGCUUUGCAAGUCGGAUGUGAAAUCCCUCGGCUCAACCAAGGAAGUGCAUCCGAAACUGCAGAGCUUGAGUACUUAAGAGGAUCGCGGAAUUCCCGGUGUAGAGGUGAAAUUCGUAGAUAUCGGGAGGAACACCAGUGGCGAAGGCGGCGAUCUGGGAAGAUACUGACGCUGAGGUGCGAAAGCGUGGGGAGCAAACAGG
This 253-nucleotide ribosomal RNA is filed under the name uncultured bacterium. Its description in RNAcentral is "partial 16S ribosomal RNA". It matches the Rfam family "Bacterial small subunit ribosomal RNA", at positions 524 to 776 of the family's 1533-position model. The record is from RNAcentral.